GACGAACGCUGGCGGCGUGCCUAAUACAUGCAAGUCGAGCGGACGAAUCGAAAGCUUGCUUUUGAUUCGUUAGCGGCGGACGGGUGAGUAACACGUGGGCAACCUGCCCUGUAGACGGGGAUAACACCGAGAAAUCGGUGCUAAUACCGGAUAACACGAAAUGUCGCAUGACGUUUCGUUGAAAGACGGCGCAAGCUGUCGCUACAGGAUGGGCCCGCGGCGUAUUAGCUAGUUGGUGAGGUAACGGCUCACCAAGGCGACGAUGCGUAGCCGACCUGAGAGGGUGAUCGGCCACACUGGGACUGAGACACGGCCCAGACUCCUACGGGAGGCAGCAGUAAGGAAUCUUCCGCAAUGGACGAAAGUCUGACGGAGCAACGCCGCGUGAGCGAAGAAGGCCUUCGGGUCGUAAAGCUCUGUUGUUAGGGAAGAACAAGUAACGCAGUAACUGGCGUUACCGUGACGGUACCUAACGAGAAAGCCACGGCUAACUACGUG
RNAcentral lists this ribosomal RNA (498 nucleotides) under uncultured bacterium. RNAcentral describes it as "partial 16S ribosomal RNA". It matches the Rfam family "Bacterial small subunit ribosomal RNA", at positions 28 to 507 of the family's 1533-position model. The record is from RNAcentral.